AUCAAACCUGCAUCCUCAUGGAUACUAGGCAGUUUCGUUACCACUGAGCCAUAAUGGGAACUCCACACCAAGCCACAUUCUUGUUGGGUCUUUUGUUACAGCAGCUUAGCUUACACUGACUAAUAAUAAUUGGUUCCAAUAGAUCAAACAUCAUGUAUUCCUGUAUCCAUGACUCCUCUUGGGGCAGCAGGCUUGCUAGGGAAGGACUCAACAAUUCUCAAAUCCCAUAAGAACAACCAUCAUAAAGGUUCAGUCUGACUCAUCCUAAAUUUAAAAAACCCCCAGCAUUUUGUGAGCUUCUACCCCAAAAUGUUUUGCAUUACCUUUUCACAAUGUGGGGCUCUAAAGACUACAUCUGGCUAAAUGAUCUCCUGUCUGACAUGCUAUUCAAAGUUCUUCCUGAUAUUAAAGUUUCACACAAACAUAUCUUGACCUUUGAACCAAGACGUUGCUGAAGUUCACGUAGCUAAACUCCCAGUCCACUUGUAAAGCAGCAGAAAAAAUACCUUCAAGUAUUUGAUCAUCAUAAUAAAAUAUUCAAAUUAAUAAUGAAAUAUUUAAAUUCCUAUUAAUCAAAAACUUUAAAAAUAUCACACCCCAGAGCACUGUCCUGACAAAAUAAGAGGACCAGUUCUUGGAGCCACGAUGGAUUCAUCUAAGACAAAUAACUUGGCUAACUCUGACAGUUUGCACUGAGCUGAACUCUCAGUCUUAGUCUCCUGACCUGGAGCCUUCCCUCUGAAGGCUCUCAGCACCAUGUCAAGGCAGGGACGGGGGAGAGGAGAAGAAAGCAGAUCUGUUUGUCGUGAAUUGUGUAUUAUCUGGCACCAAGGCUCCAUGAGCAAAGUUGCUGCCCUUAGUGGAUUUACAAUUGAGAAGGAAAGAUGCUUGCUUGAGUCUCAAUUCCUCCAGGAAGCCUUUCCUAAUCCCUCAGACUUGAAACUCUGGGUUAAAUCCAUUUCGCCUUCCCCAAUCAAGGGUGUUUUAAGACUUGCAGGUGCUCCAGGCGGCAGGUAUCCUGAGCAGUUAAGAUGUUCGCCCAAGUUGUCUUCUGGGAACUUGAAGUCAGCUGUGUCCAGUUCAAGCUGAGCUGGGUAAGACUAGAUGGGACCGACGACCCUUCAACCCAGCAGGUGAGAGGGUCCCCGUGACCUUGAGGACGUGCUGAGGCUCGUGGCUUAGUCACGCUUGCGCAGAGCAAUGGUUAUCACACCUUUUCCCAAUCACCUUUCCCUGUGCUCCCCACGUGCAGACCACCCUGCUUUUUUUUGUUUUCUUCCUAUAAGUACCUGGAGCUCCUUGCCUGUGGGGAGCUGGGCCUGAGGUUGGUUUUUCUGUCUCCUUGCCUGGCUGCUUGCCUCGUGGUUAACCUUUUGGAGGGUGGGUGGUCCCUUUGAGGACCAGAGAUUGAAGAUCUUCAUGCCAAAGGAUGGACCUCUGGGAAGCUGAACUCGUGUGACCCAACACAGCAUGUAGCACAUGGGUGUCCAACUGCUAUCUGUGAAUUACAUGCUUAUAAAAGUAUAACUGGCAUCUAUCAAAGCAACGCCACACAAAAGUUUGCUGCGCGCGUCGUACCAGGAGCGGUCACUCCAACAAUGCCUCUGGUCCCAAGGGGCACAGGUUCACCUAUGAAAGAGGAAAGAAAUGGAUGGGGGCAAGGUGGAGAUGGCGAGAGAGAGGAUGAAGAGAAAGGAUGGCAAAGCGACGUGCGAAGCUGUGGUCUCCGAGUCAGAAUCCAAGGCAAGAGAACCUCGCCUUCUUGGACGGCAUCAGUGUAACGGGCAGAGAUGGGGCGGAGAGCCUGCGGUUUACGGAGUCGACAGGCCGCACUUCGUUCAAUGAGAGGUGGUUUUCGCAGGCCUGUGGUCGUCGAGGCGUUUCUGCCCCUUAUCUCUUAGCUAUGGCCCUGAGAUCUCCAGCUGAGGUCCCUCAAUUUCCUUUUUUUCAUAGUUCAUGGGCUCUGGGGAGCAUUCUUUCGUGCAUUCAAUUCCAUGAAUCCUGGGAGAUGCCAAAAGAAACUUCAAAGCGUUCCUGCCCUCCAAGAGCCCGCAAUCUAAUUACGGGGGGUGGGGGUCCGAAAAGCCCCAGCUAACUGCAAACACACCCGUCAAAUCGACAGUCCCCCAAACAGCCCAUCGACUAACACGAGAGAGGCGGGAGCGCGGAGGUGCUUGUGAGGUGGGGGGGUGGCAUCCACGUGCGUGACCACCGCCGUCACUGAGAACGCGGGAUCCUGUUCGAGUUUGCCCCAUCCACGCUGUGAAAACAGUCUUAGUUCUCUCAAACUGGUGUGCAGGCCGCGCUGCUGCAGGUUCUAUGAAAUCGACAGGUGCAUCCUGUUAUUGCGAGGAGGAGUUGAUUUUCUGCCGCUUGUAAUUUCCACCCGAUCUCACUAGUAGAAGGGCAUCUCGGAAAACCAAAGUCCACCGUGAAUCACGCGCCUCGCCCCAGCUCGCGUGUCUCGUUUCCAAGGAGCUCUUUGACUGCUAUGAAUUGCCCCACCCAGUAAGAUCCUCGGAGAGAACCGUCGUCGGUCUGUGUGAAUCAAAAACCGAGUCCUCCAUCUCUAGCGGUUAAAAAUGGACCUGGCUAUUAAUUGUUUUGCAGUUAAUGGUGACUAGUCCUGUUGGAUGUUGCAGAGGUUAUCAGAAAGUUAGAGCUCUUUGUAUGUGAGAGCAGGAUGGGUUUGCAAGGUGUUACUCAAGAAAAGCCCUUGUCUCUCUUUUUU
Sus scrofa (pig) is the source of this 2731-nucleotide non-coding RNA. The record is from RefSeq and is a predicted model, not a curated record. NCBI's taxonomy places the organism in Eukaryota, Metazoa, Chordata, Mammalia, Artiodactyla, Suidae.